Molecule: ribosomal RNA, 480 nt
Filed under: uncultured bacterium
Lineage: Bacteria
Description: bacterial SSU rRNA
Rfam family: Bacterial small subunit ribosomal RNA
Source: RNAcentral
GAUGAACGCUAGCGGCAGGCUUAACACAUGCAAGUCGAGGGGUAUAGGAAGCUUGCUUUCUAGAGACCGGCGCACGGGUGCGUAACGCGUAUGCAAUCUACCUUUCACAGAGGGAUAGCCCAGAGAAAUUUGGAUUAAUACCUCAUAGUAAUACGACUUGGCAUCAAGAUGUAUUUAAAGAUUUAUCGGUGAAAGAUGAGCAUGCGUCCCAUUAGCUAGUUGGUAUGGUAACGGCAUACCAAGGCUACGAUGGGUAGGGGUCCUGAGAGGGAGAUCCCCCACACUGGUACUGAGACACGGACCAGACUCCUACGGGAGGCAGCAGUGAGGAAUAUUGGACAAUGGGCGCAAGCCUGAUCCAGCCAUGCCGCGUGCAGGAUGACGGUCCUAUGGAUUGUAAACUGCUUUUAUACAGGAAGAAACACCUCUACGUGUAGAGACUUGACGGUACUGUAAGAAUAAGGAUCGGCUAACUCCGUG